RNAcentral lists this ribosomal RNA (305 nucleotides) under uncultured bacterium. RNAcentral describes it as "bacterial SSU rRNA". It matches the Rfam family "Bacterial small subunit ribosomal RNA", at positions 335 to 637 of the family's 1533-position model. The record is from RNAcentral.
UUGCCUACGGGGGGCAGCAGUGAGGAAUAUUGGUCAAUGGGCGGGAGCCUGAACCAGCCAAGCCGCGUGAGGGAAGAAGGUACAGCGUAUCGUAAACCUCUUUUGUCAGGGAACAAAGGCGGGGACUAGUCCCCGGAUGAGGGUACCUGAAGAAAAAGCAUCGGCUAACUCCGUGCCAGCAGCCGCGGUAAUACGUAGGGUGCAAGCGUUAUCCGGAUUUAUUGGGCGUAAAGGGCUCGUAGGCGGUUCGUCGCGUCCGGUGUGAAAGUCCAUCGCUUAACGGUGGAUCCGCGCCGGGUACGGGC